AUCAUAUGGGCGCUUGCAUUCGUAUGAUCAGUGGCAAACGGGAGAGUAACACAUUGGUAACCUGCCUCGAAGACCGGAAUAACCAACCGAAAGGUUGGCUAAUACCGGAUGUGCUCGUGCGCCGCAUGGCGCGCGCGUAAAGUCGAAAGACGCUUCAAGAGGGGCCUAUGUUCUAUCAGCUUGUUGGCGGGGUAAUGGCCCACCAAGGCUACGACGGAUACCGGGUGUGAGAGCAUGACCCGGCUCAUUGGAACUGAGAUACUGUCCAAACACCUACGGGUGGCUGCAGUCAAGAAUAUUCCACAAUGGGGGAAACCCUGAUGGAGCGGCACCGCGUGCAGGAAGAAGGCCUUCGGGUCGUAAACUGCUUUUAUAUGGGACGAAGCUUCGGCUGACGGUACCAUAUGAAUAAGAGGUUGCUAACUCUGUGCCAGCAGCAGCGGUAAUACAGAGACCUCAAGCGUUAUCCGGAUUUACUGGGCGUAAAGGGUUCGUAGGCGGUUCUCUCAGUCUCACGUUAAAUCUCCGGGCUCAACCCAGAGGCUGCGUGGGAUACUGGAGGACUCGAGAGUGGGAGAGGUAUGCGGAAUUGCCGGUGUAGUAGUAAAAUGCGUUAAUAUCGGCAAGAACACCAAAGGCGAAGGCAGCAUACUGGAACAUUUCUGACGCUGAUGAACGAAAGCAUGGGGAGCGAAGCGGAUUAGGUACCCGCGUAGUCCAUGCCCUAAACGAUGAAUGCUGGAUUUUGGGAGUAUCGACCCUCCCAGAGUCGUCCAAAAAAGCUAACGCGAUAAGCAUUCCGCCUGGGGAGUACGGUCGCAAGACUAAAACUCAAAGGAAUAGACGGGGACCCGCACAAGCGGUGGAACAUGUGGUUUAAUUCGAUGUUAAGCGUGGAACCUCACCAAGGUUUGACAUCCGGCUGCACAUCCUCAGAAACGAGGAUUCCUUCGAGGGUGCCGGACAGGUGCUGC
This 974-nucleotide ribosomal RNA is filed under the name uncultured bacterium. RNAcentral's name for it is "bacterial SSU rRNA". It matches the Rfam family "Bacterial small subunit ribosomal RNA", at positions 69 to 1044 of the family's 1533-position model. The record is from RNAcentral.